UACGUAGGGUGCGAGCGUUAAUCGGAAUUACUGGGCGUAAAGCGUGCGCAGGCGGUUUUGCAAGCCGGAUGUGAAAUCCCCGGGCUCAACCUGGGAAUGGCAUUUGGGACUGCAAGGCUCGAGUGCGGCAGAGGAGACUGGAAUUCCUGGUGUAGCGGUGGAAUGCGCAGAUAUCAGGAGGAACACCCAUAGCGAAGGCAGCUUGCUGGGACGUUACUGACGCUAAGGCGCGAAAGCGUGGGGAGCGAACAGG
Molecule: ribosomal RNA, 253 nt
Filed under: uncultured bacterium
Lineage: Bacteria
Description: partial 16S ribosomal RNA
Rfam family: Bacterial small subunit ribosomal RNA
Source: RNAcentral